ASYGGCGCACGGGUGCGUAACGCGUAUGCAACCUACCYUYWACAGGGGGAUAGCCUUSSGAAASUCGGRSUAAUACCGCAUAAURCAGGAACUGGCAUCAGUUAUUUGCUAAAGAUUURUCGGUARARGAUGGGCAUGCGUCUGAUUAGCUAGUUGGCGGGGUAAGGGCCCACCAAGGCGACGAUCAGUAGGGGAUCUGAGAGGAUGAUCCCCCACACUGGCACUGAGAUACGGACCAGACUCCUACGGGAGGCAGCAGUAGGGAAUAUUGGGCAAUGGACGCAAGCCUGACCCAGCCAUGCCGCGUGCAGGAAGAAGGCGCUCGCGUUGUAAACUGCUUUUGUCGGGGAAGAAAAGACCCCUGCGGGGGGCAUUGACGGUACCCGAUGAAUAAGCACCGGCUAACUACGUGCCAGCAGCCGCGGUAAUACGUAGGGUGCAAGCGUUGUCCGGAUUUAUUGGGUUUAAAGGGUGCGUAGGCGGCUWGGUAAGUCAUGGGUGAAAGACGACVGCUUAACGAUWGAAGUGCCUGUGAUACUGNNUUUCUUGAGUCUGGUUGAGGCMGGUGGAAUUGAYSGUGUAGCGGUGAAAUGCAUAGAUACCACCAAGAACACCAAUUGCGAAGGCAGCSURCURRGCCAGCACUGACRCUGAGGCACGAAAGCGUGGGGAKCAAACAGGAUUAGAUACCCUGGUAGUCCACACUGUAAACGAUGAUGACUCGGUGUUG
This 730-nucleotide ribosomal RNA is filed under the name uncultured Cytophagaceae bacterium. Its description in RNAcentral is "partial 16S ribosomal RNA". It matches the Rfam family "Bacterial small subunit ribosomal RNA", at positions 94 to 825 of the family's 1533-position model. Lineage: Bacteria; Pseudomonadati; Bacteroidota; Cytophagia; Cytophagales; Cytophagaceae. The record is from RNAcentral.